UGCCAUGGAAGCUAAAAAUGAAGAUAUUGGACUGUAACAUCUUAGGUUUUACGUUUUUUUGGCACCCAAAAAUAAUUUAAAUAAGUUAACUGCAUAUUAAUUUGUUUUACCCUUUCUGCCUUCUCCUGUUUUAUGGAGCCACCUAAACUUGUAAUUAUACGUAGCUAUUCUUUGGGUCAUAUAGAAUGGAAAAAGCCAUAAGGUUCCUGAAAGUACUGAAUUC
Molecule: long non-coding RNA, 223 nt
Filed under: Panax ginseng (ginseng)
Lineage: Eukaryota; Viridiplantae; Streptophyta; Magnoliopsida; Apiales; Araliaceae
Description: long non-coding RNA (PGIN_LNC017315)
Source: RNAcentral